This 238-nucleotide ribosomal RNA is filed under the name uncultured bacterium. Its description in RNAcentral is "partial 16S ribosomal RNA". It matches the Rfam family "Bacterial small subunit ribosomal RNA", at positions 333 to 563 of the family's 1533-position model. The record is from RNAcentral.
CUGCCCCUACGGGGCGCAGCAGUAGGGACUCUUCCACAAUGGGCGAAAGCCUGAUGGAGCAACGCCGCGUGGGUGAAGAAGGUCUUCGGAUCGUAAAACCCUGUUGUUAGAGAAGAAAGUGCGUGAGAGUAACUGUUCACAUUUCGACGGUAUCUAACCAGAAAGCCACGGCUAACUACGUGCCAGCAGCCGCGGUAAUACGUAGGUGGCAAGCGUUAUCCGGAUUUAUUGGUCGUCA